GAUUCCUAUUUAGCCAACACGGUCACACUGUCCACUGCUAUGAAAUACUUUAAGUUCGUAUUAUUUGCUCUGUGCAUUGCAAUGAAAAUGGGUGUAUCCGAUGGGUAUCCUCAAUGUUGCUCAACGGCGAUGUGUUGCUGCUGUAUGAGUGAUUCAUCGCAAGUAUCUUCUAUGCACAAUCCACCCGACUAUACCAAUGAUAGUGAUGGACUUACCAGAAGAAGAGGUUCAAAAUGGGAUAAAGCAGAUACCGUUAUCAAAGGGAUCAAGGUUGCAGUUGAUGCUGGCAAAGCCGUCAAGGAUAUCACUAAGGUUGUAUCAUCGGGAUAACGAUCUGUGUAUACUAUCAUCCAUAGAUAUCACGCAACAGAACUUUUUGAACGGAAAACUUUAUUACCGUUAUCUUUCGUUUAUUUUUGUAAAACAUUAGUGGAGAAAACACCACUUGUGAAGAGUGAAAAUUUACUAAAGUUGUUUGUUUAUUUACUUCCGGGGAUGUUAACCUUUUAUGGGCCCGUAUUUUCUUAAAAUAUAGGUAAAUUCAAGAGAAAUAAGCCUACAUAAGACAAAACUUAAAAAAAAAAUAGGGAAAUUCAUAAGCCCGACGACAGAUUUCAGCGCAGAACAACUUUUGUAAAUCUGUAAUCCUCGUGCAUAUACAGACCCACUUGUCUCUGGAUCGCCGGUAAUGAUGACAGAACAAUUCAACUGGAUGCAACAGGUGAAAACGCAAUAAAUAUACAAAGUCUGCUGUUCCCUCGAGCCAGUGUAAUAGAGUCGUCAGUGCCAGCUGCCAGCAGCCAACCAGCCAGCCAGCGUAUUGAAAGUGUAACGUGCACUGGCACCCGCUAAUGUCAGAUAGGCCAAAGUCAUUGAUGGUUGAUCGGAAAAUCGUGCAGCUCGGUAGACAUAAACUGCCACUGACUGACUGCAGAAGGGAAGCGGUGGAGCAUCGGAUGAAAGUAAAUCUAUCGGUGGAAUAUUGCCGUGACCUUUUCGGUUGGAAGGAAAUGAAAAGUUUGGAAAAGGUGGACGAGUUUAGGUCUUGGUUUAGGUCGGGAUGAAAUAGGUUUCUUGAUUGAAAAAAAGAUUAAAUGAACUUAUGCCUUUCCAAUUUUAAAAUCAUGAGAAAACUGACGUGUAACUCGAAUAGCCCUCUUCAUGCUAUGCCAAAUGAAGUUGUUCAUCUUAUUUCAAAAGGGAACCAAUUAUUUCCGUUGGUUUUGUUAUGAUGCAUGCUCACUUCUAACAGAACAUCAAAAAAAAAUAAACAAAACAAAUAGAUUUUAACUUGGUA
This is a long non-coding RNA of Aedes albopictus (Asian tiger mosquito), 1297 nucleotides long. RefSeq lists it as uncharacterized. The transcript has 2 exons. The record is from RefSeq and is a predicted model, not a curated record. NCBI's taxonomy places the organism in Eukaryota, Metazoa, Arthropoda, Insecta, Diptera, Culicidae.